CCAGGACUUACUGGGUGUAAGGGAGCGCAGGCGGGACUGCAAGUCAGUGGUGAAAUAACAUGGGCUUACUCAUGAAUUGCCAUUGAAACUGCGAUCUUGAGUGGAUCAGAGGCAAGCGGAACUCCGAGUGUAGCGUGAAAUGCGUAGAUAGUCGUAGGAACACCAGUGGCGAAGGCGGCUUGCUGGGGUCUAACUGACGCUGAGGCUCGAAAGUGUGGGGAGCAAACACGAUUAGAUAUCCUGGUAGUCCACACUGUAAACGAUGAUUACUAGGUGUGGGGCGUCUGACCCCCUCCGUGCCGGAGUUAACGCAAUAAGUAAUCCACCUGGGGAGUACGGCCGCAAGGUUGAAACUCAAAGGAAUUGACGGGGGCCCGCACACGCAGUGGAUUAUGUGGUUUAAUUCGAAGCAACGCGAAGAACCUUACCAGGUCUUGACAUCCGACUAACGAGGCAGAGAUGCGUCAGGUGCCCUUCGGGGAAAGUCGAGACAGGUGGUGCAUGGUUGUCGUCAGCUCGUGUCGUGAGAUGUUGGGUUAAGUCCCGCAACGAGCGCAACCCUUGCCAUUAGUUGCUACGCAAGAGCACUCUAAUGGGACCGCUACCGACAAGGUGGAGGAAGGUGGGGACGACGUCAAAUCAUCAUGCCCCUUAUGUCCUGGGCUACACACGUAAUACAAUGGCCGUCAACAGAGGGAAGCAAAACCGCGAGGUAGAGCAAAUCCCUAAAAACGGUCUCAGUUCGGAUUGCAGGCUGCAACUCGCCUGCAUGAAGCUGGAAUUGCUAGUAAUCGCGGAUCAGC
RNAcentral lists this ribosomal RNA (803 nucleotides) under uncultured bacterium. RNAcentral's name for it is "bacterial SSU rRNA". It matches the Rfam family "Bacterial small subunit ribosomal RNA", at positions 544 to 1353 of the family's 1533-position model. The record is from RNAcentral.